UACUCCUCCAUUGGUCGUUCGUGGCAUGAUGGAGGUUGAAUUGCUAGGAAACUGCAUUGGAUUCUAGUCCUAUAAUACUCCUAUAAAUUUAAAGGCCAUUCGGGCAGAGAAAUGAUAAAGGCUGGGAGGCUAGUGUGCUUACCAGGUGGCAUCACCAUUAGACAGUAUACUGCCAUGAAGAAGUUCGCUUCUUGCCUCUCUUCCCUGCAGGCGAUGUACGCGUCGAUGACGAUCAUCCUGGCCAUCACGAUCUCUUGCUCCGUCGUCGUGCACUGCUCCAAGGUCCAAGGCUCCGACGGGCCCAUUCAUGAUGCGGCUGUAGCUCAUCUGGACGGAGAUCAUCGGGGUUCGGUGCCGCCCCCGCCGCACAGCGGCCCUACUACGCACACGCACUUCACCAUGCCGCCGCCGCCGCAGCAACGCCGCCUUUUGCACCUCACCGGAAGAUGGACCGGAGCUUGAAGUAACGUCGACGGUGUCAGUGUUGUGAGGCCUCCUCCAACGGGAGCACGUCAGCUAGCUCAGAGCUAGCUGACGUUGGAUUCCUGCUGUCGUGGAUGUGAGAGAGAGUCUGAAAAACUCCACGCUAGCGUGGGAAGAAGAGAUAAGCUCAUUCGCCCGUCCCAAGGCACAGCUGGGCCUACCGCUCCUUCUCGCUCCCUUCCCCCUCUGCUCUCUCCCUCUCUCUCCCUUCGCCAAUCGCCAGACUGACAAAGGACGAGUGGACGACGGCAGCGCGAGGCGCGCACGACACGGCGGCGGCUGUGCGCCGGUGUGACCCCCACUGCGGGAGCCGGCAGGUGGCCGGCACGCCGGCGAGCGUGAGCGGGGCCCGGCGCUGCUGGGAGGCGGCGCGCAGGCCCAUCCCGACGGGACCACGUCAAGCGUCCGGCCAGCAGCGACUGGACGGCGGCGCGCGGGCCUGCGCGGGGGCAGGCCCGGGCACUGCGGCCGGCCGGUGGUGGCGCGCAGGCCGGCGCGGGCAAGGCCGAGGCACCGCGGCCGGCCGGUGACGGCGUGCAGGCCCCGCGCGGGCGAGCCGGCGAGGCCAAGUCGGCGCGCACGGGCGGCGGACGGCGACCGACCGGCGAAGCUGCUGCGCGGCGGCGCACAUGCCCGCACGGGCAAGGGAACGGUGAUGCCACGGCUCGUCGGAGCCGCCGAGAAGGAGACGACGGUGACGGAGAAGGACCAAUAAAAAUAUGACUUUUCUAGAUGGGACCCACAUUUUGAUACGUGUGCUAUAAGUUAAAAUCAUUUGGGAAGUCGACCACGUAGGCCUUUGAGCUAUCUGGUUGACUCAGCCGCCUGAGUUGUGACCCCUUUUAUCACGUUGUGUUGUGCGUGUACGGUCAAUGGCAGGUCGAGAUCGACAAUGUUCUUCGCAGCAUCACCUUCAUUAUCAUAGUUUUAGUUGUACA
Molecule: long non-coding RNA, 1421 nt
Organism: Setaria italica (foxtail millet)
Lineage: Eukaryota; Viridiplantae; Streptophyta; Magnoliopsida; Poales; Poaceae
Exons: 2
Source: RefSeq, a predicted model, not a curated record